This 1540-nucleotide ribosomal RNA is filed under the name Klebsiella pneumoniae. RNAcentral describes it as "bacterial SSU rRNA". It matches the Rfam family "Bacterial small subunit ribosomal RNA". The record is from RNAcentral. Lineage: Bacteria; Pseudomonadati; Pseudomonadota; Gammaproteobacteria; Enterobacterales; Enterobacteriaceae.
AAAUUGAAGAGUUUGAUCAUGGCUCAGAUUGAACGCUGGCGGCAGGCCUAACACAUGCAAGUCGAGCGGUAGCACAGAGAGCUUGCUCUCGGGUGACGAGCGGCGGACGGGUGAGUAAUGUCUGGGAAACUGCCUGAUGGAGGGGGAUAACUACUGGAAACGGUAGCUAAUACCGCAUAACGUCGCAAGACCAAAGUGGGGGACCUUCGGGCCUCAUGCCAUCAGAUGUGCCCAGAUGGGAUUAGCUAGUAGGUGGGGUAACGGCUCACCUAGGCGACGAUCCCUAGCUGGUCUGAGAGGAUGACCAGCCACACUGGAACUGAGACACGGUCCAGACUCCUACGGGAGGCAGCAGUGGGGAAUAUUGCACAAUGGGCGCAAGCCUGAUGCAGCCAUGCCGCGUGGGUGAAGAAGGCCUUCGGGUUGUAAAGCACUUUCAGCGGGGAGGAAGGCGUUAAGGUUAAUAACCUUGGCGAUUGACGUUACCCGCAGAAGAAGCACCGGCUAACUCCGUGCCAGCAGCCGCGGUAAUACGGAGGGUGCAAGCGUUAAUCGGAAUUACUGGGCGUAAAGCGCACGCAGGCGGUCUGUCAAGUCGGAUGUGAAAUCCCCGGGCUCAACCUGGGAACUGCAUUCGAAACUGGCAGGCUAGAGUCUUGUAGAGGGGGGUAGAAUUCCAGGUGUAGCGGUGAAAUGCGUAGAGAUCUGGAGGAAUACCGGUGGCGAAGGCGGCCCCCUGGACAAAGACUGACGCUCAGGUGCGAAAGCGUGGGGAGCAAACAGGAUUAGAUACCCUGGUAGUCCACGCCGUAAACGAUGUCGAUUUGGAGGUUGUGCCCUUGAGGCGUGGCUUCCGGAGCUAACGCGUUAAAUCGACCGCCUGGGGAGUACGGCCGCAAGGUUAAAACUCAAAUGAAUUGACGGGGGCCCGCACAAGCGGUGGAGCAUGUGGUUUAAUUCGAUGCAACGCGAAGAACCUUACCUGGUCUUGACAUCCACAGAACUUUCCAGAGAUGGAUUGGUGCCUUCGGGAACUGUGAGACAGGUGCUGCAUGGCUGUCGUCAGCUCGUGUUGUGAAAUGUUGGGUUAAGUCCCGCAACGAGCGCAACCCUUAUCCUUUGUUGCCAGCGGUCCGGCCGGGAACUCAAAGGAGACUGCCAGUGAUAAACUGGAGGAAGGUGGGGAUGACGUCAAGUCAUCAUGGCCCUUACGACCAGGGCUACACACGUGCUACAAUGGCAUAUACAAAGAGAAGCGACCUCGCGAGAGCAAGCGGACCUCAUAAAGUAUGUCGUAGUCCGGAUUGGAGUCUGCAACUCGACUCCAUGAAGUCGGAAUCGCUAGUAAUCGUAGAUCAGAAUGCUACGGUGAAUACGUUCCCGGGCCUUGUACACACCGCCCGUCACACCAUGGGAGUGGGUUGCAAAAGAAGUAGGUAGCUUAACCUUCGGGAGGGCGCUUACCACUUUGUGAUUCAUGACUGGGGUGAAGUCGUAACAAGGUAACCGUAGGGGAACCUGCGGUUGGAUCACCUCCUUA